CGGAUUUUUGCACCAAUAACUAUAAAUUAAAAAAUUAUCCUAAAAAAAUUAUCAAUAAAAAAAUAAUAAAAUUAUUUAUCAUAUCAUAAAAUAAAAAAAGAUAAUAUUAUAAGUUAAGAUUAGCAAAUAUCCUAAAAAAAAAUAAAAAUAAAAAAAUAACAAAAAAUCUAUGAAUAUAAAUCUAAUUAAUUAAUCAUACAUAAAGUUCGAUGAUGCUUAGUGGUGG
Molecule: long non-coding RNA, 226 nt
Filed under: Elaeis guineensis (African oil palm)
Lineage: Eukaryota; Viridiplantae; Streptophyta; Magnoliopsida; Arecales; Arecaceae
Description: long non-coding RNA (EGUI_LNC029136)
Source: RNAcentral